RNAcentral lists this ribosomal RNA (433 nucleotides) under uncultured bacterium. Its description in RNAcentral is "partial 16S ribosomal RNA". It matches the Rfam family "Bacterial small subunit ribosomal RNA", at positions 29 to 507 of the family's 1533-position model. The record is from RNAcentral.
AACGAACGCUGGCGGCAUGCCUAACACAUGCAAGUCGAACGAGACCUUCGUGUCUAGUGGCGCACGGGUGCGUAACGCGUGGGAACCUGCCCUUAGGUUCGGAAUAACUCCCCGAAAGGGGUGCUAAUAACGGAUAAUGUCUUCGGACCAAAGAUUUAUCGCGUUUGGAUGGGCGCGCGUUGGAUUAGCUAGUUGGUAGUGUAAAAGCCUACCAAGGCGGCGAUCCAUAGCUGGUCUGAGAGGAUGAUCAGCCACACUGGGACUGAGACACGGCCCAGACUCGUACGGGAGGCAGGAGUGGAGAAUAUUGGACGAUGGGCGAAAGCCUGAUCCAGCAAUGCCGCGUGAGUGAGGAAGGCCGUAGGGUUGUAAAGCUCUUUUACCCGGGAUGAUAAUGACAGUACCGGGAGAAUAAGCUCCGGCUAACUACGUG